AAUACGGGAUAACAUAUUUGAGAGGCAUCUCUUAAAUAUCAAAGGUGAGCCAGUACAGGAUGGACCCGCGUCUGAUUAGCUAGUUGGUAAGGUAAUGGCUUACCAAGGCGACGAUCAGUAGCCGACCCGAGAGGGUGAUCGGCCACAUUGGAACUGAGACACGGUCCAAACUCCUACGGGAGGCAGCAGUGGGGAAUAUUGCACAAUGGGCGAAAGCCUGAUG
RNAcentral lists this ribosomal RNA (223 nucleotides) under Clostridioides difficile. RNAcentral's name for it is "partial 16S ribosomal RNA". It matches the Rfam family "Bacterial small subunit ribosomal RNA", at positions 165 to 388 of the family's 1533-position model. Lineage: Bacteria; Bacillati; Bacillota; Clostridia; Peptostreptococcales; Peptostreptococcaceae. The record is from RNAcentral.